This 207-nucleotide ribosomal RNA is filed under the name uncultured bacterium. RNAcentral's name for it is "partial 16S ribosomal RNA". It matches the Rfam family "Bacterial small subunit ribosomal RNA", at positions 568 to 774 of the family's 1533-position model. The record is from RNAcentral.
UGCGUAGGCGGUUUGGUAAGUCAGAUGUGAAAUUCCUGGGCUCAACCGAGGAACUGCAUUUGAUACUGCCAGACUAGAGUACUGGAGAGGAGACUGGAAUUUACGGUGUAGCAGUGAAAUGCGUAGAUAUCGUAAGGAAGGCCGGUGGCGAAGGCGAGUCUUUGGACAGUAACUGACGCUGAGGCACGAAGGCUAGGGGAGCAAACG